This 441-nucleotide ribosomal RNA is filed under the name uncultured bacterium. RNAcentral describes it as "partial 16S ribosomal RNA". It matches the Rfam family "Bacterial small subunit ribosomal RNA", at positions 339 to 795 of the family's 1533-position model. The record is from RNAcentral.
CUACGGGGGGCUCCAGUCGAGAAUCAUCCGCAAUGGGCGAAAGCCUGACGGUGCAAUGCCGCGUGGGGGAUGAAGGCCCUCGGGUCGUAAACCCCUGUCAGGAGGGACGAAGAAGUGACGGUACCUCCAGAGGAAGCCACGGCUAACUACGUGCCAGCAGCCGCGGUAAUACGUAGGUGGCGAGCGUUAUUCGGAUUUACUGGGCGUAAAGGGUCCGCAGGGGGUUUGCCAAGUCUGGUGUGAAAUCUCACAGCUCAACUGGUAAACUGCGCUGGAUACUGGUGAACUAGAGUGCGCGAGGGGUGAGUGGAAUUCCUGGUGUAGCGGUGGAAUGCGUAGAUAUCAGGAAGAACACCAACGGCGAAGGCAGCUCACUGGCGCGCAACUGACCCUCAUGGACGAAAGCGUGGGUAGCAAACAGGAUUAGAUACCCCAGUAGUC